This 253-nucleotide unclassified non-coding RNA is filed under the name uncultured Alphaproteobacteria bacterium. Its description in RNAcentral is "contains 16S-23S intergenic spacer region". It matches the Rfam family "Bacterial small subunit ribosomal RNA", at positions 524 to 776 of the family's 1533-position model. The record is from RNAcentral. Lineage: Bacteria; Pseudomonadati; Pseudomonadota; Alphaproteobacteria.
GACGGAGGGGGCUAGCGUUGUUCGGAAUGACUGGGCGUAAAGGGCGCGUAGGCGGUUUUUUAAGUGAGGCGUGAAAGCCCCGGGCUUAACCCGGGAACUGCGUUUCAGACUGGAAAACUGGAGUACGAGAGAGGAAAGCGGAAUUCCUAGUGUAGAGGUGAAAUUCGUAGAUAUUAGGAAGAACACCAGUGGCGAAGGCGGCUUUCUGGCUCGUAACUGACGCUGAGGCGCGAAAGCGUGGGGAGCAAACAGG